This 105-nucleotide small nucleolar RNA is filed under the name Beta vulgaris subsp. vulgaris (sugar beet). RNAcentral's name for it is "snoRNA snoZ279_R105_R108". It matches the Rfam family "Small nucleolar RNA Z279/snoR105/snoR108". From Rfam's summary of the family: This family includes the plant snoRNAs known as Z279, snoR105 and snoR108. All three are members of the C/D class of snoRNA which contain the C (UGAUGA) and D (CUGA) box motifs. The record is from Rfam by way of RNAcentral. Lineage: Eukaryota; Viridiplantae; Streptophyta; Magnoliopsida; Caryophyllales; Amaranthaceae.
GGGAUUGAGGAGUGGUCAUUUCUCGCUUAUUUAAACUGCGAGAUGGGUGUUCGCCCAAGCCUGGUUACGACAAAUUGGGCACCCCAAUCUUUACCAUCUGAUCCC